CUUUCAAAGGAUACGGAGUGGCUAGGGUUCCGUCGAAAGAAAAACCCUAACUAACAUGCUGGUCCGGCCAGACUGCCGCCGCCGUCUGAUCCCUCACAAGUCAAGGCUAUACCUUCUAAACUCCGCCAAAUGAUGUUCUUCACCACCGAUUCUCUCCACGGUGAACACAAGCAGCAGAAGGGGAUGCUGGGAAAAAGAAAAAACAAGCGGUGAAUGGAACUAAAUUAAAAGCCAAUGAGAUCAAAGAUGGAAGUAAUGAUAAGAAUCUCAAGAAGUCUCGAGAUUCAGAUAGGGAGGAAGAUACUAUGCGGAGUGAAAAAGGUGGAAAGAAAAACAAGAAAAGGAAGAGGAAUCAAGUAACCGAUCUCCGGUUUGAAACUACUGUGGAUAAGUUAGCGGCAGCUCUAAACGAAAGGAGCGCAAGAAAAAGUAUUUUGAAGCGAAGAAGAAAAAGCAUAAGAUUGCUAGAAUAAAAGAGAUCCUAGAUUUCCUGGAAGAGACUGUAAAAUUCGGAGAUGUGGUCGAAGCUCCUCUGAAGUUGGUUAAAGUAC
Long non-coding RNA from Hibiscus syriacus, 551 nucleotides. RefSeq lists it as uncharacterized. Lineage: Eukaryota; Viridiplantae; Streptophyta; Magnoliopsida; Malvales; Malvaceae. The record is from RefSeq and is a predicted model, not a curated record. The transcript is spliced from 4 exons.